UAGGGAAUCUUCCGCAAUGGACGCAAGUCUGACGGAGCAACGCCGCGUGAGUGAAGAAGGAUUUCGGUUCGUAAAACUCUGUUGUUAGAGAAGAACAGCGCAUAGAGUAACUGUUAUGCGUGUGACGGUAUCUAACCAGAAAGCCACGGCUAACUACGUGCCAGCAGCCGCGGUAAUACGUAGGUGGCAAGCGUUGUCCGGACUUAUUGGGCGUAAAGCGAGCGCAGGCGGUCAAUUAAGUCUGAUGUGAAAGCCCCCGGCUCAACCGGGGAGGGUCAGUGGAAACUGGUUGACUUGAGUGCAGAAGAGGAGAGUGGGAUUCCAUGUGUAGCGGUGAAAUGCGUUGAUAUAUGGAGGAACACCGGUGGCGAAAGCGGCUCUCUGGUCUGUAACUGACGCUGGGGCUCGAAAGCGUGGGGAGCGAACAGG
This 429-nucleotide ribosomal RNA is filed under the name Bacteroidota bacterium. RNAcentral's name for it is "Bacteroidetes bacterium partial 16S ribosomal RNA". It matches the Rfam family "Bacterial small subunit ribosomal RNA", at positions 355 to 776 of the family's 1533-position model. The record is from RNAcentral. Lineage: Bacteria; Pseudomonadati; Bacteroidota.